UUUAGUAAUUUAUCUUAAGGUGGCUGAAAAAUUUCUUAUUAUGUCUUUAUUUGUGUAAACCCCAUAACUGGGAACAACUAUACUGAGAAGGCUCUGUCACCAGGUGUCUUGAUAUUCUCUUAGUAAUUCUCAUUUAAUUCUAUGGAAAGCAGGAAAUUCUUUAUGGUUGGGAUGGAUGGAAAGGGACCACAAGAUGGCUUAGGAGGAAAAGUCUCUCAAAAAUUUGCCAGCUCUUUAGGCAAUCUGUGUGCUUGUCCUGGAUUUGGAGAGUCUGAACUAAUUCUAUAAACUGGCCCUUACAACCUCACACACCCACCUUUUCCUCCAUAGUCUCUGGGCCUAGAGGGAGGGUACAUCUGUUGUUUUAGCAGCAAGGAAAUGGCAAUGGCAAUGAAGAAAAGAUUGGGCGCAAUAAGAUUGCAAAUGAGGGCCAUUCACAGCCUUUGUAGAAUCAUCUCUGGUUUUUACAAUAUCAUGGUUCUGGUUUUCUCAGAAGAAGUAUAACAGUGAGAGAUAAAUAACAUUAAUAAUUUGAGAACCAAAAGAGAAUGUGUGUGUCAGAAUGGAAAAAGGAACCUAUUCCAUUAGGGAGCCAACUAAAAACAUCAUGCAGAAAUUAAUUUUAAUUGAGACAAAAUAUUUAGGAAAAAGUUGCUCUGUAGGUUGGAGACACAAAUUUUAUUUUAUACCAGGAGACUAUUAGAGAUGCUGGUACAAAACUCAAGAAAGGAGUCAGAAUUCUAGACAAACACAUAGCUGUGUCAUAAUCCUACCCAUUUUAUAACUGAGAAGUAUGGGAGAAAAGAUUGUUGUCGCCUCUAAUAUACCCAUUAUAAUCUUCAACCUGCUGAUUACUGGGGGUUAGGAUCAUGGAGGAACAAAACAUAGACAACAGCUAACACAAGAAAAUGGAUUUAAUCAGGUUUAAAGCUUAGUCUUAUGUAAGAAUUUAAGCAUUUCAUUUCAAUAAUGCUUAGUGUCUUGGAAUAAUUGUUCAGGGUCUCAGAUAGCUUCUCUCCCUAAGACAACAUCUGAGUAUGUGGAACAGGGGUGGCUUCUAUGAUCUUAUGGCUUAAGGAAGGCAGGAUUCCCAGAUUUGCAUAUUAUCCCAAGGCUCCUCUGGUUGCCAUGGCGAUGUCCUUUGUUUGCUGGCUGCUGCUGCUCUCUCUCAGCAUUUGGAUUACUUCUCCCACAAUUUAGUCAGAGCCUAGUGAUGCUGCUGGUUAACAAAGCGUCUGGUAUUGGGGAGCCCUUUGGAUAUGAGCUGGAGUCAGCUCAGCCUGGGUGGCUCAUUCUGAGCCUCCAUCUUCACUUCCACGCAGAAGCCUCGCCUGGCAAGCUCCCUAGCAAGAUGCUGUCGGGCUGACAUUUGCCAGCCUUGGGAAAGCUAAACUCAUAGGCUCAGGCCAGCUUUUACUUGAAUAAGCUGCUGUCUCAUUCCUCCCCUGCUUCUCAUUCAUCCUGAAAGAUCUACAUAAAAUUGGCUUGAACACCUCCCCUUCCAAGGCCUGUGGGAGUCAGAAGCCCUUCUCAAGAUUUCUGCACGGCGCUGACCCAGAAACAAAACCGAGCUCCCUGCUUGAUGUCCACUAAAAGCCCAUUCACAUAAAACAUUCAUGAUUUUAAGUGCCUUUAGUGAAGAUUUGAGGAAAGGAUAGCAGCAGAGUGUAUACAGCAGCAACAAAACAACCUCUAAUGGAUCAGGCAGCCUCUCUUGUCUCAAAAUGUUCCUUGGCCACCCACCACUAUGGAAUUUUACUGAAUUUCUUUUUGUCAGCCUUUCUGUAUCCAGUUGGCUCCUCUUUUUCCCUGUUCAGCCCUGUAAUUUCGAUUUUUUUUCUCUCUUCUCCAUUCCUUCUUCACUCUACCUCUUUCUCCUUUUCUUUACCUCCCUUUUCCCUCUUCUUCUCUCUCUCUUCCUCUUUCUUUCUCCCCUCCAAACCCACUAAUGUGCUCUGAGGUAGUGAGCCCUUCACUUAACAAAAAUCCCUCCCUUCCUCCUCCUCCUCCCCACCAUUGCCAAAAGGCAGCAGUGCCAGUUUAUUACCCUGAAACAGAAAGCACGACAUUAAUUUCAAUGUAAUAAAAAUGCUUUAAAAAACA
Molecule: non-coding RNA, 2103 nt
Organism: Macaca mulatta (Rhesus monkey)
Lineage: Eukaryota; Metazoa; Chordata; Mammalia; Primates; Cercopithecidae
Source: RefSeq, a predicted model, not a curated record